This 73-nucleotide transfer RNA is filed under the name Bacteroidota bacterium. RNAcentral's name for it is "tRNA-Lys". It matches the Rfam family "tRNA". From Rfam's summary of the family: Transfer RNA (tRNA) molecules are approximately 80 nucleotides in length. Their secondary structure includes four short double-helical elements and three loops (D, anti-codon, and T loops). Further hydrogen bonds mediate the characteristic L-shaped molecular structure. tRNAs have two regions of fundamental functional importance: the anti-codon, which is responsible for specific mRNA codon recognition, and the 3' end, to which the tRNAs corresponding amino acid is attached (by aminoacyl-tRNA synthetases). tRNAs cope with the degeneracy of the genetic code in two manners: having more than one tRNA (with a specific anti-codon) for a particular amino acid; and 'wobble' base-pairing, i.e. permitting non-standard base-pairing at the 3rd anti-codon position. RNAcentral also lists the same sequence under 2 other names. Lineage: Bacteria; Pseudomonadati; Bacteroidota. The record is from RNAcentral.
CUCUCGGUAGCUCAGCUGGUAGAGCAAUUGACUCUUAAUCAAUGGGUCACAGGUUCGAAUCCUGUCCGGGAGA